Molecule: ribosomal RNA, 500 nt
Filed under: uncultured bacterium
Lineage: Bacteria
Description: partial 16S ribosomal RNA
Rfam family: Bacterial small subunit ribosomal RNA
Source: RNAcentral
GACGAACGCUGGCGGCGUGCCUAAUACAUGCAAGUCGAGCGAGACUCUUCGGAGUCUAGCGGCGGACGGGUGAGUAACACGUGGGCAACCUGCCUGUAAGACUGGGAUAACACCGGGAAACCGGUGCUAAUACCGGAUAAUCCUUUUCCUCUCAUGAGGAAAAGCUGAAAGUCGGUUUCGGCUGACACUUACAGAUGGGCCCGCGGCGCAUUAGCUAGUUGGUGAGGUAACGGCUCACCAAGGCGACGGUGCGUAGCCGACCUGAGAGGGUGAUCGGCCACACUGGGACUGAGACACGGCCCAGACUCCUACGGGAGGCAGCAGUAGGGAAUCUUCCACAAUGGACGGAAGUCUGAUGGAGCAACGCCGCGCGAGCGAUGAAGGCCUUCGGGUCGUAAAGCUCUGUUGUUAGGGAAGAACAAGUACCGGAGUAACUGCCGGUACCUUGACGGUACCUAACCAGAAAGCCACGGCUAACUACGUGCCAGCCGCCGCAGUAA